UCCAUGUCAAUUCUAAGUUUUAAAGUGAUGAAUCUUUUAAACUUUUAGGCUUUGAAAAUGUUCUUGACUUGAACUCAACGUGCCAACAUGUGGAGCCAACCCAGAGAUGUUUUCCAUCUGAUGACCUUGAAAGCAGCAGGAGAUGUGCCUGGCUCCCAGUGCAUCAUAUGCCCUGAACGAACCAGCUUUUAU
This 192-nucleotide long non-coding RNA is filed under the name Cavia porcellus (domestic guinea pig). RNAcentral describes it as "lncRNA (ENSCPOG00000034219.1)". Lineage: Eukaryota; Metazoa; Chordata; Mammalia; Rodentia; Caviidae. The record is from RNAcentral.